Cyprinus carpio carpio is the source of this 1863-nucleotide long non-coding RNA. NCBI's taxonomy places the organism in Eukaryota, Metazoa, Chordata, Actinopteri, Cypriniformes, Cyprinidae. The record is from Ensembl.
UUUAUAUCCUUGUAUCAUGAUGGUGCAGCAAACAGAUGGUCCUGUUGUAAAUUAGCGUAUGACAAUUAGUAAAUUAGUUUAUGUACAAUUAGAAUUUUGAGCAACCAUUAAUCCUGUAUAAUAUCAAGGAAAUAAGAUUUUGCCAUUAUUUAAAAUAUUUUGCAGAAGCUUUACAAUGUAAGAAUGAAAGAUUGAACACAUCAUUUCAUAUGUAGAUAUUUAUAAAUUGUAAAGCAUAUUUUAAAAUGUUGUUGGUUUACACACUUACACGUACAGAUCCAACAUUUGAAACCUGCUAUAUAUGUUUUACAUAAUUUUAAAUCUACAUGUUUGUAAUUUGUCCAUGAUUGUGCCACUCACAGGUGGUCCUGUUGUAAAUUUGUGUAUGUUUAUUCAAACAAAUACCACACAGAUGCCUAAAAAUGCAGCAUCUGUUUUUAACAAAAUAAAAUGUGUUUCAGAAGGAAUAAUUUUUCCUUUUAAAAUGUUUGAGCAGAAAAGAUUUUAAAUUGCUGCAGAGCCACAGCUGUUGUGAAUGCAAAGCAAUCAGUUGGGGCAUAUAGAGGGCAGCCCGUCCUCAUACAAGAGCAGUAUCACCAGUCUGUUAAGGACAAGUCGCUGCUUUCAGAUUGAAAGAUAUCUUACAGUUGACUUUCAUUUGGGUGUGUUGACAAUGACCUCUGGAAAAGCAGGCUUUGGUGGAGGGAAAAGCAAAAUAUUUCCAACAAAUUCUGUUGCUGAGGUUAAUCUUCGCAGACAAGUCUGGUUCUGUGAUUUCCAGCAGAAGUUCACAGACAGACACCUUUUGCAGUAUGGUUUCCAUGGGAACAGGAGGAAAUAAUUUUCUUGGCCAGCUGUAUUGAAAUGAACAUCUGUAUGCUGUAUGUUGUCAUUACCUUUCAGGUGAUUUGCGCAUUAGAGGUUUCAGCUCAUGUUCAGCAAGCAUCUUCUAAACUAUAAUUCGCCCUUCUUUUCUCUAAUGCUGUCAUGUUGUAUUUGAAUAUGCUUUAUUCUCUGUGUAUGUAUACUUUUAUUCAUAUUUUAUUGGCAUCAAAUGAAUCUAUUUUAAAUAAAUGCUGUUCUUUUGAACAAGUAUUUAUAUUAAAAUAUAAACCAGUGCAACUGUUUUCAACAUUUAUAAUAAUAAUUGUGCUGUAUUUUAUGUAUAAUUUUUUAUUAAUUUUAAUACAUUUUAAAUGUUUUUAAAAUUACUUUUAAUAAUUUUUUAUUUGCUUUUAUUAUUUUAUUUCUUAUACUACUUUUAUUUCUAAUGUAUUUUGUUUUUUAAAUUAUUAUUUUCAUGUGCAGCACUUUGAAUUACCAUUGUGUAUAAAUUGUACUAUAUAAAUAAAUUUCCCUUGCCUUAAUAAUAAUAAUAAUAAUGUUUCUUGAGCACCAUAUUAGCAUAUUUGGCUGAUUUCUGAAGGAUGUAAUGGCUGCUGAAAAUUCAGCUUUGUCAUCACAGGAAUAAAUUUAAAAUUAUAGAUUUUAAAAUAGAAAUGUUUAUUUAUUUGUUUAUUUUUAAUUGUAGUAAUAUUUCACAAUAUUCUUUUUACAUUAAAAAUAGAAAACAUUAAAUUUAAAAUCUAUGGUGCAGCAAUUCAGUCUCUUUAUAUUACCAGAUAACGGUGUCAAGGUAUCAUUCUCUUCUGAAUCAGUGUAAAAUUCCCUAGAGAUGGGAUGACUGUCAUUAGGGCACAAGUUAAACAUCUUUAGAUGGCUGCACGCUACUUUCUUCCAUGUGCAAGGUUUCAAUCAAACUUGCUAUUUGAUUAUCAAAACUUUCAAAGCACUUUUGAUUUGUCUUAAGCUGCAGGAAAUUCAAGGGGACAUCUGGAAGGAUGUCUGCAGAUUAUUUGCAAU